CCUACGGGUGGCAGCAGUGAGGAAUAUUGGUCAAUGGGCGAGAGCCUGAACCAGCCAAGUCGCGUGAGGGAGUACUGCCCUAUGGGUUGUAAACCUCUUUUGUCGGGGAGCAAAAGCCGGACGUGUCCGGCUGUGAGAGUACCCGAAGAAAAAGCAUUGGCUAACUCCGUGCCAGCAGCCGCGGUAAUACGGAGGAUGCGAGCGUUAUCCGGAUUUAUUGGGUUUAAAGGGUGCGCAGGCGGAUUUUUAAGUCAGCGGUAAAAUCGUGGGGCUCAACCCCAUCCAGCCGUUGAAACUGGGGAUCUAGAGUGUGCGAGAGGUAUGCGGAAUGCGUGGUGUAGCGGUGAAAUGCAUAGAUAUCACGCAGAACCCCGAUUGCGAAGGCAGCAUACCGGUGCACAACUGACGCUCAGGCACGAAAGCGUGGGUAUCGAACAGGAUUAGAUACCCUUGUAGUC
This 458-nucleotide ribosomal RNA is filed under the name uncultured bacterium. RNAcentral describes it as "partial 16S ribosomal RNA". It matches the Rfam family "Bacterial small subunit ribosomal RNA", at positions 338 to 795 of the family's 1533-position model. The record is from RNAcentral.